RNAcentral lists this microRNA precursor (78 nucleotides) under Schistosoma mattheei. RNAcentral's name for it is "mir-3492 microRNA precursor family". It matches the Rfam family "mir-3492 microRNA precursor family". Lineage: Eukaryota; Metazoa; Platyhelminthes; Trematoda; Strigeidida; Schistosomatidae. The record is from Rfam by way of RNAcentral.
AGCUUUUCGAAUCCGUGCCGAGAUUUCGUCAGACACCAAUCUACUGGUGUUGUUCAGACUUCCAAGAUAAGUGAAGUU